This 88-nucleotide transfer RNA is filed under the name Emiliania huxleyi. Its description in RNAcentral is "tRNA-Asn". RNAcentral also lists the same sequence under 4 other names. Lineage: Eukaryota; Haptophyta; Isochrysidales; Noelaerhabdaceae. The record is from RNAcentral.
UUCUCAAUAGCUUAACGGUAAAGCGUGUGACUGUUAAUCAUUUGGUGUGUUAAAAUUGUUAGUCAUGAAAUCAAGUAUUUUUAGCAAA